UCGAGUGGCAUUUGAAAAUGUAAAGUAAAGAGACACUAGAGUUAGUGUAAUGCAAAGAGCUAAUGUGAUGUAAAGAAUAAUGAAAGUGACAAUGUUAAAGUUAAAGUUAUGUGGGGAGUAAAGAACAUGAAAUGCUAGAGGUAGCCAAAAGUAAAGAACGUAAAGAAAAUAAUUGGUAGAGUUAGCAAAAGUAAAGAAUGGUAAAGAACAACGAUUGCUAGAGUUAGCAAAGAUAAAGAAAUGUAAAGAAUGUGAUUGCAUGAGUUUGCAACAUAAAGUGAUGAAAGAACACUAGAGCUAGUGUAAAGUCAAGAUUGAACUUAUAAAUCCUUUGAGUUAAGGAUAUGAUCAUACUUGCUAUGAGUUCCGUGCUCGAGGGUGGUCGCUCCCCCUCGGGCGAUGCGCUCCGGAGUUAUGCAUCCGGGUUGGAGUAGACCCGUAAGGACGGUCCUAGCUGGUGAGUUCCUGCGAUGAUGGACUUAAUGUGAAGCAAGUUAAUGUGG
RNAcentral lists this long non-coding RNA (503 nucleotides) under Ananas comosus (pineapple). RNAcentral describes it as "long non-coding RNA (ACOM_LNC042017)". The record is from RNAcentral. Lineage: Eukaryota; Viridiplantae; Streptophyta; Magnoliopsida; Poales; Bromeliaceae.